Molecule: long non-coding RNA, 2716 nt
Filed under: Cricetulus griseus (Chinese hamster)
Lineage: Eukaryota; Metazoa; Chordata; Mammalia; Rodentia; Cricetidae
Description: lncRNA (ENSCGRG00015031074.1)
Source: RNAcentral
CGUUUAUUUCUCUUAACUUGGCCGUCUCCAGUUCCAUUCAUUUCCCUGUAAAUGACACAAUACCGUUUGUCUCCAUAACUGAAUAAAACUCUACAUAUGUAUGUUUGCCAUAUUUUUUGUAUCCCUGCAUCUGUUGACUUUCACAAGACUUAAACCAAGACAAAUAUUAAAAAAGUCAAUGAAAUUCAGAUUAACAACAAUUUAAGAACAGAUUCCAAGUAUAAUAUAAAAAAAGCUACACACACAUAGAGAAACAGGCAGACAUACACUCACACACGUACAUGCACACAGCCAUCACUGUAGAGCAAAAUGCAUUAUUCUGCAAGAUGAAUUUAAUCAUGUCUUCAGCAUCUGGGUCAGAAUCAAAACCUCCCUGGUACCUCAGAACUUCUCUUUUUCUCCCCCUAGGUCAUUUUCUUUCCAUUUCUUUUUGUGAGUGUAGGGUGUGUGUUGGGGCUCCGGUCACACGGGGCAAGUACUCUCAAACUUCACAUAGACUGCCUUCCACUCAGCUGCUGCCUGCAGUGCCUCCACUGGCCUGCUGGCACCGAACUGUAAUCUGUUUCCGUUUCAUGUGGCGUUUCUGAGUUUUGGCUUCUACCAACAUGGCUUUGGUGACCACAUGUGGAGCUAGGGUUGUGCAUAUGCACAGAAGCAGACGUGAGCAGGCAGAGGUCACGUGUUCAUGUGGAUUUGUCCUGCUUAGCAGAGCACAGGGGCCACAGAUGUUGCAUGUCCUUGCCAACAGCUGGUACUGUCCGUCUUUUUAAUUUUAUCCAUUCUGGGGGUGUUCAGGGACUAUCUUCCUGUAAUUUCACUGUUGGGUACUGUUCCACAUGCUUGUGUACCAUCUUUGUCAGUUUUUCCUUUCAUAGUUUUUCCAUAGUCAUUAAAACUGGCUAUCUUUCUUUUUCUUAUUAAUUGGUAUCACUUUUUAUAUUUUAUGAAUUUGAGGCCCUAGGUGGAUAUGUUGAUAAUUCUUAAUUUUAAAUCAUGUCCACCACUUUGAAGACAGUCUGUGUAUUCGUCUAGAACUUUCACUACCUCACAGAAUUGUAGUCCAUCUGGAAAUGAUUUUUGGUGGAGGGUGAGGUAGGGUUUGAGACCAUUUGUCCACAGCCUGCAUUUCCAGUUGACCUAGCACUGUUGCGUAAUAGGCAAAGAUGUGUCACAUUGGUUUCUGCUGUGGAAUAUGACUUUAACUGUGUAAAGGUGUGUCACAUUUGUUUCUGCUGUGGAAUAUUUAACUGUGUAAAGGUGUGUCACAUUUGUCUCUGCUGUGGAAUAUUACUUUAACUGUGUAAAGGUGUGUCACAUUUGUCGAUGCUGCAUUUGUUUAAUGAUGUAAGGAUGUGUUACAUUUGUUUGUGUUGCAUUAGUUUAAUUGUGUAAAGAUGAGUUGCAUUUGUUUUACCUUGCCUUCCUAAAGUAGGAGGAGAAAUCUAGGCGAGAGAGACAGAGAGAGACAGAGACAGAGAAAGAGAGGAGGAGGAGGAGGGAGAGGAGGAGGAGGAGGAGGAGGACGAGGACCAGGAUGAACGAAGAGAUUGAGGGAGAAAGAGAGGGACAUGCCCAGGACCAGAACCCAGGCAGCUGCCAUCCAGCCAGACACGAGAAGCAGUGAAAGUAAGAUAUACAAAAGGAAAGAAAGGUAAAAAUCCCCAAGGCAAAAUGUAGAUAAAGACAACCAGAUUAAAAUAGGAACUAAGUAAGGCUGACCUUUCAUAACCAAUAAGAAGUGUACAUAUCAUGAUUUGGGAUCUGGUUGGUGGCCUAGAAGAAAGCCUGCCAUACAGCACUCCUCACCGGAGGGACCAUUCCUCAAUGCUCUACACUGCUGGUGUAAGUAAGAUGACGAUAGGAAGGGUAGCUUCUGGUCAGCUUCUAGGUCCACAGGUUUUGUCAGCAUGUGGUAUCACACUGUCUUAGGUUAUUCAUAAUUUGUCUUUGGAUCUUGUCAUAUGAACCCUUUGGUUUUGUUAAGACUUGGUUGACUAUUCUCAGCCAUUUGCAUUUCUAUAUGAGUUUUAGAUUUAGGUUGUUAAUCUCAUCAGAAUAAUUAAAGCUGCUGGCUUUCUCCCUUUCCCAUCUGGUCAGUCUUGGAAGUUCAGCCCAGUUCCCACCUGAUCAGUCCUGGAGGUUCGGCCUAGUUCUCACUUGCUUGGUCCUGGAGGUUCAGUCCAGUGCCCUCAGCAAGGGCUCACACUAAGCUCUUCCCCUUGGCAGUGCCUGCGAAAGUUUUGCAGAUACAUUUGGGAACUGAUUGUCUCUGUGAUACCUAUUCUUUCAGCUCAGACUAUAUCUCAUAACCCAUUUAAAGUUUCACUAUGUUCAAUAAUGUUUUAUAGUAUUCUAUAGAGAAGUCUUAUGUGUUUUCUGUGGUUAUUCCCAGACAUCCUUUUUAAAGUUUGUUUUAUUUUUGAUUACACAUGUGUCUGUGUGACUGUGUGCCUAUGAAUUCAGGGGAAGGGCAGUGGUGUUCAAUCCCCUUGGGCUAGAAUUAUAGGCAGUUGUGAGCUCUCUGCUGUGGGUGCUUGGAACUGAACUCUCUCCUCUGUAAGAACAGUCUUUGCUCUUAACUCUUAUCUCUUUAGCUCCCAGAUAUCUUUUUUUGGGGGGGGGCGAAGUGGAGCGGGGUGGAGACAGGGUAUUAUGUAGUUCUGGCUGUCCUGACAGCUCUGGCUGUCUCAAUGUAGACCAGGUUGGCCUCAAACUC